RNAcentral lists this microRNA (22 nucleotides) under Ciona intestinalis (vase tunicate). RNAcentral's name for it is "Cin-Mir-375_3p (mature (guide))". The record is from RNAcentral. Lineage: Eukaryota; Metazoa; Chordata; Ascidiacea; Phlebobranchia; Cionidae.
CUUGUUCGUUCGGCUCGCGUCU